Molecule: ribosomal RNA, 461 nt
Filed under: uncultured Erysipelothrix sp.
Lineage: Bacteria; Bacillati; Bacillota; Erysipelotrichia; Erysipelotrichales; Erysipelotrichaceae
Description: bacterial SSU rRNA
Rfam family: Bacterial small subunit ribosomal RNA
Source: RNAcentral
ACGGGGCCCGCACAAGCGGUGGAGUAUGUGGUUUAAUUCGAAGCAACGCGAAGAACCUUACCAGGUCUUGACAUGGUGUUUAAGGCCCUAGAGAUAGGGAGAUAAUAAGCACACACAGGUGGUGCAUGGUUGUCGUCAGCUCGUGUCGUGAGAUGUUGGGUUAAGUCCCGCAACGAGCGCAACCCUUGUCUUUAGUUACCAUCAUUCAGUUGGGGACUCUAGAGAGACUGCCGGUGAUAAACCGGAGGAAGGUGGGGAUGACGUCAAAUCAUCAUGCCCCUUAUGACCUGGGCUACACACGUACUACAAUGGCGCAUACAACGAGCUGCGGGAUGGUGACAUCAAGCGAAUCUCUUAAAAUGCGUCUCAGUUCAGAUUGGAGUCUGCAACUCGACUCCAUGAAGUCGGAAUCGCUAGUAAUCGCGGAUCAGCAUGCCGCGGUGAAUACGUUCUCGGGGUUU